AUUCUCAACUCCAAAGGGUUUCACGACCUCUUGGAGAUUGGACUUGGAGCGUGCCGGCGUCCACGUCGGCUCCUCUCAAAUGCAUCAGCGGAAUUCAAUCUUUGGGCUUCCGGAGUCGGUGUGAUAAUCAUGUUGCGCUGUCGUCGGAAUCCUCAGAGUCCGCUCAUUAAUGGUCUUUGGACAAAUCAUCAUCAAAUUUUGACCUCAAAUCAGGUAGGACUACCCGCUGAACUUAAGCAUAUCAAUAAGCGGAGGAAAAGAAACUAACAAGGAUUCCCCUAGUAACUGCGAGUGAAGCGGGAAAAGCUCAAAUUUAAAAUCUGGUGGUCUUGUGGCCAUCCGAGUUGUAAUCUGGAGAAGCGUUUAUCCGCGUUGGACCGUGUACAAGUCUCCUGGAAGGGAGCGUCGUAGAGGGAGAGAAUCCCGUCUUUGACACGGACUACCAAUGCUUUUGUGAUGCGCUCUCGAAGAGUCGAGUUGUUUGGGAAUGCAGCUCAAAAUGGGUGGUAAAUUCCAUCUAAAGCUAAAUAUUGGCGAGAGACCGAUAGCGAACAAGUACCGUGAGGGAAAGAUGAAAAGCACUUUGGAAAGAGAGUUAAACAGUACGUGAAAUUGUUGAAAGGGAAACGUUUGAAGUCAGUCGCGUUGGCCGAGACUCAGCCCAGCUCCCGCUCGGUGCACUUCUCGGUCGACGGGUCAGCAUCAAUUUUGACCGCCGGAUAAAGGUUGGGGGAAUGUGGCAUCUUUCGGGAUGUGUUAUAGCCCUCGAUUCGCAUACGGCGAUUGGGAUUGAGGAACUCAGCGCGCCUUUAUGGUCGGGGUAAUCACCCACGUAACGCGCUCAGGAUGCUGGCAUAAUGGCUUUAAGCGACCCGUCUUGAAACACGGACC
This 891-nucleotide ribosomal RNA is filed under the name uncultured fungus. RNAcentral's name for it is "eukaryotic LSU rRNA". The stretch from base 200 to 891 matches the Rfam family "Eukaryotic large subunit ribosomal RNA", at positions 1 to 667 of the family's 3401-position model. The record is from RNAcentral. Lineage: Eukaryota; Fungi.